Molecule: long non-coding RNA, 6045 nt
Organism: Nilaparvata lugens (brown planthopper)
Lineage: Eukaryota; Metazoa; Arthropoda; Insecta; Hemiptera; Delphacidae
Exons: 3
Source: RefSeq, a predicted model, not a curated record
UAAUUUAAGGACGUUUUAUUUAUUUAUUCGAUGAUGCACAAAACACAAUAUUCAUUGACUGUUUUCUGAUUUGUUUCAGAUUCAAGACACAAUCAAACCUGUACCGACACAAGGAGUAUCACGGUGGCGUGCAGUACCCGUGCUUGGUGUGCGGCCGCGUCUACCCGACCAACAGCACUCUCAGAGCGCAUAGCAUCACCCACAGCACCCUCAGGCCUCACAAGUGUCCGCUUUGCGAGAAAACAUUCAAAAGAAAUCAGGAUCUUAAAUUCCACAUAAAUCAGCAUACUGGUGCCCGUCCUUACAAGUGUCCCUAUUGUCCGAAAGCGUUUGCCAGCUCGGGAAACUGCUUCUCUCAUCGCAAGCGAAUGCAUCCGACCGAAGUGGAAAGAGACCGAGAAAUGGCCGACGAAAUAGCACGAUGAUCACAACAUCUACGGUAAAUCACUGUCAUGGAGAAUUUGAAUGAUGAAUCAAUAGAAAUUACGCCUUUUAUCGUAACCUCCAACCAAAAUCUAGUCACAUCAAUAAGCUCAAAAUCAAUCAACAUAGGCUAGAAGUGAUGGGUAAAUACUUUUUAAUCGUAUUUUUAUUUGUACUUCUUCCUAUUCGUUUGACUUUGACUUAAUUUUUUAUAGGAUUUAUUCAUCUAAUGAAGUAUCUCAUUUUUUCUUAUUUGUAUUUUCUUAGACGGAGUCAGAUAAAGCCUCCUCUUUACCAGCCAACCUCAAGUUUCUCUAGUCGUCUGAACAAAUUGGUCAUAGAAUUAAGCUUUUCUCUUUUUGAAUUAUUCUAGUCCAAGCUAUGUUGGAGAACGGGAAAUCCACCUUCUCUUUCAUUACUACGUAAAUAGCUUUAUCAGCAAAUUAUUAGUAGGCAUACCAAACGAAAACAAAAUUAACAUUACUCACAAUUUACGUGCGUAUAUUGCCAUUGGUAAAAACUUUGGAUCAAAAAUAUUAUUCAACCUUUUUUUCUUUUUUAUUUGUUGAAAAUUAAUUCAAUGAGUGGAAUAACAUUAUUUUUUAUUAUUUUUCCCCACAACAUUGUUUCUCUAGCUGAAUUAUUCUAGUCCAAACUAUGUUGGAGAACGGGAAAUCCACCUUCUCUUUCAUUACUCGUAAAUAGCUUUAUCAGCAAAUUAAUAGCACCACACCAAAACAAAAUCAACAUUACUCACAAUUUCUGUGCGUAUAUUGUCAUUGGAAAAAACGUUGGAUCAAAAAUAUUAUAACUUUUUUCUUUCUUAUCUGUUGAAAAUUGAUUCAUUAAGUGGAAUAACAAUAUUUUUCAAUAUUCUUGCCCACCACGUUGAAGUGGCAUGUAAAUAUCAAUUAAUUACUGUAAGUUAUUGACACAUUAGUGCUCUGUUCCCUAAAAUUCAUUUUGAACUGAUUAUAUUCUUAGUUUUAUUUACAAGUAUAUUUGUAUUCAAAUAAGGAUAAGUUUAAGACAAUAUAGUUCAUUUUCAAAUUAUUCUUUUAUUGCGGAAUUCAAGUUUACAAUGUCUCAAAUAUCUAACCUAUUCGCCAAAGAUUUAUUCAAAAACCAAAGAUUUUAUACAAUUAGAAUAGAACCCUAAUUUAGUUUCAUAGUUACUGAUUCAUGCAUUUCAGUACAAAAACUCACUAGUCCAUGUCAGAUCUCCUUCUCUUGCCAGGCAUCAAACCUCAUCCAAGAAUGAUAAAUGUAUUUUGUAACCAAAAGUAGUAGUUUCUACCCAAAAUCUACCAAGCAAAAGUUCACUCCCACCAUCUUAAACAUACUGAUCGGAUAUCUAGAAAUUUUGGUAUUCUUAUAUAAUGACCAAAGUUCAAUUUUUAUCAAUUCUUAUUUAACAUUUUAUUUUUUGUUUAAUAUAAAUUAUCAAUUCAUAACUAUUAAUAUUGAGAUCCUAAUUUUUGGUCAAUUCCUUUUCUUUUGUUUAGCAGUAAGAAGUAAGUAAUCUAGUCAAUCAUCAAAUAUAUUAUCUCCAUUUUUUUAUAGACACCAUCACUUUGGCUUGGCUUUUGCCAAGGAAUAUUUUGGUUUUUUAAGAUCAUGAGCGAUAGAAACUGUUAAUAAAAGAGUAUGGCCAUUGUAGAUAUGCUAUAAGUUAUAUAUGCCGUGGUAACUGGCAACUCGGUUGCUUGAAAUCUAUGAAAAGUUUAGUUAUGAGCUAUAAAAAGUCCAUGAAUAAAAAUAAUAAAAUACCAUUGUAAUGUUGACUGUUAGAAUAUUGAUAGCUUACGGUAUUUUAAGUAUCAUCCAUUCACUUACUUCCAUUAAAACUUAUUAGGCAACAUUUUACACACAGAACAAAAACACAUGACAUUCUUUAUAAACGAUCUUUGAAACUGUCUUAGCGAAGCACACUUGGUUGCCUAGUAACCAUUCAAUGCCUCCCAAUUUGCCUAAGACCAGAAUCCUGGAUUGGGAUUGGCUGUCACAUCUGGGUGGUUCUACGAUUCCUCAAAUGAGCUUCCUAGGAACUUGUCGAGGGAAUAGAGUGGGCUCCCCUUCAGUCAUGUCUUCAUUGUCCUUGCAAAUGUGCAAAUGUUCACCAAACCAUUCUUCGCUGAGAACAUCUUAAAAAUCGUUUAUAAACACGGCCCAUAGUUUUUGCAGCUUCAUUAUUAAUUCUCAUUUUGAGCUAAAGCCGCAAACUCGCAAACCCUCUUAUACUCGAUCUUUAUGUACAUUAUCUAUUUCGUAUUAGUCUAUUAUUAUUGUGUGAUGUAUUAUCUUUGUUGUAUUUUAUCAAUUGCAUUAUUUUAUAGAAUCGUUUAAUUAUAAAUUGAAUUUAAUGUUUUUUACGUAUUAUUCACAAGUAUUAUGUGUUUUUCUUCUAAGGUUUUCAUUCUAACUUUAACUAUUGGUAAAUAACUGACUUUAUGACUAGUACUGUACUUCUAAGAAGUACUAUUUUUAAAGAUAAAACCGUGAAUCAUAAAGUUCAGUAUUUUAUUCAAAAAAAUAAUACAGGCUAUUCUAUGAAUUAUUGUUUAGUGGUGUUAUUUCGAUCAAUGUUCGUAUUUUGUUCACGUCUUUCAAAAGUAAUUAUUUGUGUUUUUUAAUCGUCGAUUUUGCUUCGGUGUAUUAUUUGUUCAAUGUACUAGCUUUAUUACAAUUAUUAUUUAUUAUACACAUGUUGUGAAUUACCACCAACAUUACAUAAGCAUUAGUUGAAUCCAUAUCGGUUUGUUUUAUUGCCAUAGUUUAUAUUUUAUACACAUAAAUCUUUGUAUAAUGUUGUUGUUGUCUUAAUCAGUUUUCAAGUUCCAAGUACCGUAAUCAUGAUAUUAUAAUAAAUAAUAAUCUAAUAUUUUUACAAACAUUAGGUAGGUAUGCAAACUAUAUUUGCAUUAAUAAUGGAAUGCAAUUAUUAUAUUUUUAUCAUAAUGUAGUGAAACUGUUUAACUUAAUAUAUUGGUCGAGAAUAAUAUAAUAUCAACUAAGUAUUAUAUGUCGGAAGUAACAAAGACUUGAUAAUACCAUAGAGAAACAAUAGCAUAAGUAGAUAUCCCAUGGUAUAGGGCGUUUAUGUCGCAACUUUUACUGUUAUCUCAAGCUGAUAGUCCACGUAGUUCUUUCCCGUGAAGCUUUAUGACGCUGCUAGUCUCUCAUAUUGUGCCGUUCAUACACUUCGUACACUCCAUGCCCGGUCGAAACAGUAAAAAUUGAAAAUAAUCGACAGUAAUCAGCUUGAGAUAACAGUAAAAGUUGUGACAUAAACGCCCUAUACCAUGGGAUAUCUACUUACGCUAUUGUUUCUCUAUGAUAAUACCAUGUAUUUGCAAAGUAUUCAAUUUAUUUUUAUGAUAACAUGAAAUAUUAUGUUGAAUUCAGACAAUUCAGACGUAGUCAUAAAUAUGUUAUUAUAAGAGUAGAUAAUGUAAAAAUGAAUUUUAUUUAUUAAUAUUUUUUUGAAAGAUGAUCAUUUAUUUUAUUUAUUCAAUAAUUAAGGUUUUUUAUUAUUAGAAAAUAAUAACUUGUGUGAGAAUUGUGUGUAAUACCUUCAACGGCUUCAAAAAUCUUAUUUCAUUUUUUGAAAAUGUCUUUGAAGUUUCUAAUAGAGUGAUCAUUGUAAACAAUCGCCAUUCAGAAAACGUUGAAAUUAUUUGUAAUAGUAUUCAAGUCACUAAGAAUACUAAUAUUGAAAUUUUUGUUAUUAUUUUUCCUCAUAUUCACAUCUUUUUGCUUUAAAAUUAUUCCGUUUAAUAUACUCACCCAUAAAAAUUGAUUAUUUGAUUAAUAAUUAUGAGAAGUAAAUCAGUUUAUUCCACGUUACAUUAUUUUUUUUUAAUCAAAUAACAAGUAAAUAUGUUUAUAUUAGUUACAAUAGAGUAUAUUACCGGUGUUCAUGAAAAGUGCAAUUACAAUAUAUUUAAAACAUAAGCCAGCAAACAAUAAAUAAUAGAGUACCUGAAUUUUGAACAGUUCAUUGUUACAAAGAAAUACUGUAGAAGCAUUGUCCAUAGUAAUUAAUGUCGAUUUUUCAGAUGUGUGGUUGAUUUUAAAGGUUUGUUUUUCAGUAAAAUUGUAUAUUAUAUUAUGUUUUGUCUUAGUUUGGAAACAUAUUUGGUAGAAGUAAUUCAUAUUAAAACAGUGUUUCCAGCUCAAAAGCUACUUAGUAUUGUAUUUUAGUGGAUAUUAGAUAUUGUGAGAAACCCCAAUUAGAUUAUUGACAACUGCUUCAAUACUAUGUUUAUAGAAAUAGAAUACUACAAUACCACCUCAGGAAUUUUUUAUUUGCAUUUCCUUCAAAAAUGUAAUACAGUAGAACUCCAAUUAUCCGAACUAUGACUAUCCGAAUCGCCGAUUAUCCGAAUCACUUUAAGAAAAGAAUUUGUCCAAAAAAGUCCAAGUUCGCUAUUAUUCUUCCCCCCGCGAAGCCAGUGUUUGCGCGUUCGCUCACUAUUGUCCUUCCCUCCGCGCAGUCAGUGUAGUAAAACAUGUGAAAAAUAUCAUGUUUCUUUCAUUUAAUUCAAUAAAAAAAAUAGUGCAAUAUCAAAACGUAGCUUUUUUCUGUCCAAUGGCAGUUUUUUUUAAAAACUCCGAUUAUCGAUUAUCCGAAUAUUUGAUUAUCCGAAUGGGUUCCGGUCCCCAUUAAUUCGGAUAAUUGGAGUUCUACUGUAUGUUAAACUCUAUUAUGACUAUUUAUAUUCUAUUUAAAAUAAUCGGGUUUUGAAUAUUGUUGUAAUGAACUAAUUUACAAGCUAUUUUAUAUUUAAUAGCUCUUGAAAAAUUUGUUAACUUAUUUUUUAUUUCUUGUAACUUUUAAUGAAGCCUUUUUAUGAGAGUAGAAGAAAAUUUUCAAGACAACCUGAGUUUAUCAAUACCUUGAAUACCAUGUUAAUUUGAAUAAAAUAAAUUUCCCAACUACCUUAUUGGAAUAUAUUCAUUAUUAGUGUGAGAGAUCUAAAAAAUACCUAGAUAAUACUGCGAAAUUACCUUUUGCAUUAGUUUAGUACCUAUUUUGUUCAAGACUUUAUAAAACGAUUUCAAAAGUAUUCUUUCUCUAUGUACCUACUGUACUUUAUUUCAUCAAUUUCGUUGGCUUAUCUCAUAAUUAUUAUACUUUUACCUGAGCAUGCUUUUACAAUACCGUAUUUAUAUCUCUUGAACUAGUUGAAUCUAUCUCUUCAUAUGUGAAAAAUCUCUGUUCACAGAAUCAAUGCAAUAAAACAGAUAUAGGCUUUGUUACAAAAUGUGGGCUGGAUGAAUUUUUCCAGGGCUAUUUCAUUGCAAUGUGCUCUUGCAAAUUCAUUAUUGUAAACGUGAGUCAAUAAUUUCAUGUGAUUUUUUAGAUUCUAUCAGUUUAAUUAGUCAAGUGAAAAAAAUGUUUUGUUAAAAUAUUUAUAUUUACCCAAUGUGUGGUACUACCACCUUAUAGUUAUCAAAUUAUUUGUCAGCAGUAUCAUAGUAUAAUAUUGCAAAAGAAGGAUAAAGCUGUCUUGUAUGUACCGCGUACUGUGUACUGUGUUGUGUGUUAUAGUUGUAAGCACUUUUGAUAGAAAAAAGCAUUGGUAUAAAACGUGCAAUAAAAAUAACUUAAUUUGACCA